This 374-nucleotide ribosomal RNA is filed under the name uncultured organism. RNAcentral describes it as "partial 16S ribosomal RNA". It matches the Rfam family "Bacterial small subunit ribosomal RNA", at positions 525 to 896 of the family's 1533-position model. The record is from RNAcentral.
CGGGGGGGUGCAAGCGUUAUUCGGAAUCACUGGGCGUAAAGAGCGCGUAGGCGGUCUCUUAAGUCAGAUGUGAAAGCCCGGGGGCUCAACCCCGGAAGUGCAUUUGAAACGAAGGGACUUGAGUAUGGGAGAGGGAAGUGGAAUUCCUGGUGUAGCGGUGAAAUGCGUAGAUAUCAGGAGGAACACCGGUGGCGAUGGCGACUUCCUGGACCAAUACUGACGCUGAGGCGCGAAGGCGUGGGGAGCAAACAGGAUUAGAUACCCUGGUAGUCCACGCAGUAAACGUUGAACACUAGGUGUAGCGGGUAUUGACCCCUGCUGUGCCGCAGCUAACGCAUUAAGUGUUCCGCCUGGGGAGUACGGCCGCAAGGCUA